CCUACGGGUGGCUGCAGUGGGGAAUAUUGCACAAUGGGGGAAACCCUGAUGCAGCGACGCCGCGUGAGUGAAGAAGUAUUUCGGUAUGUAAAGCUCUAUCAGCAGGGAAGAAAAUGACGGUACCUGAUUAAGAAGCCCCGGCUAACUACGUGCCAGCAGCCGCGGUAAUACGUAGGGGGCAAGCGUUAUCCGGAUUUACUGGGUGUAAAGGGAGCGUAGACGGUGAUGCAAGUCAGAAGUGAAAGCCCGGGGCUCAACUCCGGGACUGCUUUUGAAACUGUGUGACUGGAGUGCAGGAGAGGCAGACGGAAUUCCUAGUGUAGCGGUGAAAUGCGUAGAUAUUAGGAGGAACACCAGUGGCGAAGGCGGUCUGCUGGACAGCAACUGACGCUGAGGCGCGAAAGCGUGGGGAGCAAACAGGAUUAGAUACCCCUGUAGUC
This 440-nucleotide ribosomal RNA is filed under the name uncultured bacterium. Its description in RNAcentral is "partial 16S ribosomal RNA". It matches the Rfam family "Bacterial small subunit ribosomal RNA", at positions 338 to 795 of the family's 1533-position model. The record is from RNAcentral.